CCUACGGGAGGCAGCAGUGGGGAAUUUUGGACAAUGGGCGCAAGCCUGAUCCAGCAAUGCCGCGUGAGUGAAGAAGGCCUUCGGGUUGUAAAGCUCUUUUGUCAGGGAAGAAACGGUCUUGGUUAAUACCUGGGGCUAAUGACGGUACCUGAAGAAUAAGCACCGGCUAACUACGUGCCAGCAGCCGCGGUAAUACGUAGGGUGCAAGCGUUAAUCGGAAUUACUGGGCGUAAAGCGUGCGCAGGCGGUUAUACAAGACAGAUGUGAAAUCCCCGGGCUCAACCUGGGAAUUGCAUUUGUGACUGUAUGGCUAGAGUGUGUCAGAGGGGGGUAGAAUUCCACGUGUAGCAGUGAAAUGCGUAGAUAUGUGGAGGAAUACCGAUGGCGAAGGCAGCCCCCUGGGAUAACACUGACGCUCAUGCACGAAAGCGUGGGGAGCAAACAGGAUUAGAUACCCUGGUAGUCCACGCCCUAAACGAUGUCUACUAGUUGUCGGGUCUUAAUUGACUUGGUAACGCAGCUACGACGUGAGUAGACCGCCGUCGGGAGGUACGGUCGCGAGAGUAAACGUAACAAGUAGAGUUAGUACGGCGUGAGACGUAGCCGACGGACGACGACGAGGGAGGAGG
RNAcentral lists this ribosomal RNA (629 nucleotides) under uncultured bacterium. RNAcentral's name for it is "bacterial SSU rRNA". The stretch from base 1 to 541 matches the Rfam family "Bacterial small subunit ribosomal RNA", at positions 338 to 873 of the family's 1533-position model. The record is from RNAcentral.